UACAGAGGGGGCAAGCGCUGUUCGGAAUUACUGGGCGUAAAGGGCGCGUAGGUGGCCUUCUAAGUUGAACGUGAAAUCCCUGGGCUCAACCCAGGAACUGCGUCCAAGACUGGGAGGCUUGAAUCCGGGAGAGGGAUGCGGAAUUCCAGGUGUAGCGGUGAAAUGCGUAGAUAUCUGGAGGAACACCGGUGGCGAAGGCGGCAUCCUGGACCGGUAUUGACACUGAGGCGCGAAAGCCAGGGGAGCAAACGGG
RNAcentral lists this ribosomal RNA (253 nucleotides) under uncultured bacterium. Its description in RNAcentral is "partial 16S ribosomal RNA". It matches the Rfam family "Bacterial small subunit ribosomal RNA", at positions 524 to 776 of the family's 1533-position model. The record is from RNAcentral.